Long non-coding RNA from Triticum aestivum (bread wheat), 1295 nucleotides. RefSeq lists it as uncharacterized. NCBI's taxonomy places the organism in Eukaryota, Viridiplantae, Streptophyta, Magnoliopsida, Poales, Poaceae. The transcript has 3 exons. The record is from RefSeq and is a predicted model, not a curated record.
UCAAUUCUACUUCAAGGAAAUGAAGCCACUGGUUAUGGUCUCUUUGGCACACAACUUAAUUUGUUAUCUCUGAAACUGUAGUCGGCUGUAGCCAGUGCUGAUGUACUUCUCAAGGUAUGUUAUUGCUCAGUCUUUAUGAUGUAGCCAGAUUAAUUGUGAUUCUGUGAUAUACUUGCAUGCUUCAUUCUUAAUUAAGAUAUACUCUGUUGCUGAUACUUUGCUCGUUGGACGUGCCCUGAGAUGCACGACGUGCUUGCCAACAAAGCGCUCCAUCACGGGCUCAAAGAGUACUCCAGCCGGACCACACUCCCACGGCUCUACAUCGAUGACGAGUUCUUUGGUGGCCGCGCCGUUGGCAAUGCCCCUGAACCCCAUUCUCAUCCCAGUGCAGCGGGCUAGACGUCGUCCUCCUCGACGCGGCCGUCCCCGACGAGCUAUCUUGGCCAGAGGAGGCGGAGCAGCAAGGCCUUCUAUCAUCGUGCGUGGACUGACAGUUGCGUCCUCCUGCUCUCCUAGUGUGGAAGAAUAAUUCUUGCAGAUGUGAGGGAAGAACUUGUGGAGAGGCUCACCUCGGUCUUCGUAGAGGGCCAAUACAUACUUGUUGUACUCCUGGAUGAACUUGUAUCUCUAUAUAUGUUUGUAAAUAUUCCCAAUGUGGCUUUAGUGAUGUCAUCUAGGAUGCUUGUUGUAAUGGAUGAUUUUUUAGAAAGGGUCAUGGAUGAAAUAACAUGGAAAUUUGUAAACUCGGUCAAACUAUGGGCCUGGUAUGUCAAAAUAAUUGAGUCGUGUAAGUUUGUUGUGCUAGCUGGGCUGAUGGAUGGAAUGGAUUGUUUUUCAAUUGGGUGAAUAUCAUAGGCCUAGGUUUUCUUGUUGGGCCUUAUUUGGUGAGCAAAAAUAGGCUAUUGGGCCGGGCUAGAUAAAAAUAAGUGGGCUGAAACAUUAUUGGGCCGAAGGCCACGCUGGUGCCAUGUAUAUGCCAUGUUGGCGCCAACUAGAUGGCACGUCAGACCCAUGCUGGCGCCACGCAGAUGCCAUGUCAGAACCAUGUUGUUGCCACAUCAUGUCAAUCCUUGACGGAUUAGUCCGUCACAGAGGCCCGGGCCUGGGCGGGCCUAGGGACUAAUCGAUGACGGUCAGGAGCUGUCAUGAUGGUAUAGUUGUCAAAUUAUGACGCGAUAUACAUGACGGACCCUAGGUCCGUCACAGGCCUCCAUCCAUGACGGCUUUAUACUGUUUUGUGACAGACUGUAUCUGUCAUGGAUUAACAAGAUUCUUGUAGUGACGGUUGUAAAACA